Non-coding RNA from Salmo salar (Atlantic salmon), 378 nucleotides. NCBI's taxonomy places the organism in Eukaryota, Metazoa, Chordata, Actinopteri, Salmoniformes, Salmonidae. The record is from RefSeq and is a predicted model, not a curated record.
AUGCCCCUAAGAACACGUCUGUAUUUGCUCAGCCCUCCAGUGUGAUCGAUGCGGGCCGUCCUCUGACUCUGACCUGCAGCAGCCAGGCCAACCCGGCGGUGGACAACUAACUACAUGUAGUUCAGGAUCAAUGCGGCUGACGCCUGGGUAACGCGAUCGGGCCCUAGCUACACCUUCGCUGAGGUCAGCCCCGGGGAGAGCGGUCAGUACUACUGCAAGGCACGCAACCGCAUCGGCGUCCAUAGCUCGCCUGUCCUCACUGUCAGGGUCAGAGGCAGACUGAAGGUUAUCGCCCUGGCCUCAGCUGUGGGCGUGUCUGCUGGUCUCAUCACUCUCACUGUGGCCAUCAUGAUCAGCAAAAACAUGCACAGAGUAGAC